GACGAACGCUGGCGGCGUGCUUAACACAUGCAAGUCGAACGGUGAAGCGCCUUCCUUUUUGGUGGGUGUGGAUGAGUGGCGAACGGGUGAGUAACACGUGAGUAACCUGCCCCCUUCUUCUGGAUAACCGCAUGAAAGUGUGGCUAAUACGGGGUAUUCUGGGUCUGUCGCAUGAUGGGUCUGGGAAAGAUAUUGUUUCGGUGGGGGAUGGGCUCGCGGCCUAUCAGCUUGUUGGUGGGGUGAUGGCCUACCAAGGCGGUGACGGGUAGCCGGCCUGAGAGGGUGGACGGUCACACUGGGACUGAGACACGGCCAAGACUCCUACGGGAGGCAGCAGUGGGGAAUAUUGCACAAUGGGCGCAAGCCUGAUGCAGCGACGCCGCGGGAGGGAUGGAGGCCUUCGGGUUGUGAACCUCUUUCGCCAGUGAAGCAGGCCUGCCUCGUUUGUGGGUGGGUUGACGGUAGCUGGAUAAGAAGCGCCGGCUAACUACGUG
RNAcentral lists this ribosomal RNA (494 nucleotides) under uncultured bacterium. RNAcentral's name for it is "partial 16S ribosomal RNA". It matches the Rfam family "Bacterial small subunit ribosomal RNA", at positions 28 to 507 of the family's 1533-position model. The record is from RNAcentral.